UACGGGGGGGGUAAGCGUUGUUCGGAAUUACUGGGCGUAAAGGGUUUGUAGGUGGCUUGCUAAGUCAGACGUGAAAUCCCUCAGCUUAACUGGGGAACUGCGUCUGAUACUGGCGAGCUUGAGUGCAGGAGAGGAACGCGGAAUUCCAGGUGUAGCGGUGAAAUGCGCAGAUAUCAGGAGGAACACCGGUGGCGAAGGCGGGUCUCUGGGCCGAUACUGACGCUGAGGAGCGAAAGCGUGGGGAGCGAACAGG
Molecule: ribosomal RNA, 253 nt
Filed under: uncultured bacterium
Lineage: Bacteria
Description: partial 16S ribosomal RNA
Rfam family: Bacterial small subunit ribosomal RNA
Source: RNAcentral